This 540-nucleotide ribosomal RNA is filed under the name Sarcocystis sp. Fu 12-793. RNAcentral describes it as "SSU rRNA". It matches the Rfam family "Eukaryotic small subunit ribosomal RNA", at positions 496 to 1019 of the family's 1831-position model. The record is from RNAcentral. Lineage: Eukaryota; Apicomplexa; Conoidasida; Eucoccidiorida; Sarcocystidae.
UUUUAUUUCUAGUGAUUGGAAUGAUGGGAAUUUAAACCCCUUUCAGAGUAACAAUUGGAGGGCAAGUCUGGUGCCAGCAGCCGCGGUAAUUCCAGCUCCAAUAGCGUAUAUUAAAGUUGUUGCAGUUAAAAAGCUCGUAGUUGGAUGUCUGCUGGAAGCAAUCAGUCCGCCCUAUUUGUAGGGUGUGCACUUGAUGAAUUCUGGCAUUUUUGUCCCAAUGAUGUAACGGGGCGGUGGUAUUCGGYGAAAGCCGAGUAUCCUGUUUUCCGAUUAUUGGGAUACUGUUACUUUGAGAAAAUUAGAGUGUUUGAAGCAGGCUAAUUGCCUUGAAUACUGCAGCAUGGAAUAACAAUAUAGGAUUUCGGUUCUAUUUUGUUGGUUUCUAGGACUGAAAUAAUGAUUAAUAGGGACAGUUGGGGGCAUUCGUAUUUAACUGUCAGAGGUGAAAUUCUUAGAUUUGUUAAAGACGAACUACUGCGAAAGCANUUGCCAAAGAUGUUUUCAUUAAUCAAGAACGAAAGUUAGGGGCUCGAAGACGAU